GAAUAUUGCGCAAUGGCCGAAAGGCUGACGCAGCGACGCCGCGUGGAGGAUGAAGUCCGUUAGGACGUAAACUCCUUUUGCAGGGGAAGAAUGUCCGCCUAUGGUGGAAGAGACGGUACCCUGCGAAUAAGGAUCGGCUAACUACGUGCCAGCAGCCGCGGUAAUACGUAGGAUCCGAGCGUUGUCCGGAAUUACUGGGUGUAAAGGGCGUGUAGGUGGGUCUCUAAGUCGGUGGUGAAAUCCUGCAGCUUAACUGUAGAAUUGCCUUCGAUACUGGAGAUCUUGAGUGCGGCAGAGGGAGACGGAAUUCAUGGUGUAGCGGUGAAAUGUGUAGAUAUCAUGAAGAACACCGGUUGCGAAGGCGGUUUCCUGGUCCGUUACUGACACUGAGGCGCGAAAGCGUGGGGAGCAAACAGG
RNAcentral lists this ribosomal RNA (417 nucleotides) under uncultured bacterium. RNAcentral's name for it is "bacterial SSU rRNA". It matches the Rfam family "Bacterial small subunit ribosomal RNA", at positions 359 to 776 of the family's 1533-position model. The record is from RNAcentral.